GUCUGGCCUGCUCACUGAUUAUUUUAAAGAGCCGCGGUAUUUUGACCGUGCAAAGGUAGCAUAAUCAUUAGUCUCUUAAUUAGAGGCUGGAAUGAAUGGCUUGACGAGAAAUCAACUGUCUCUUAAUAAAUUUUAGAAUUUAACUUUUGAGUCAAAAGGCUUAAAUUUUUCUUUAGGACGAGAAGACCCUAUAGAGCUUGACAUUUUAUUUAUAUAUAAUUUUAAGAUGGUCUUUUUAUAUUUAAUGAUAAUGUUUUGUUGGGGUGACAUGAAGAAUUAAUAAACUCUUCAUUAUUAAAUCAUUGAUUUAUGUUUAUUUUGAUCCAUAAUUUAUGAUCAAAAGAUUAAGUUACCUUAGGGAUAACAGCGUAAUUGUUUUUGAGAGCUCAUAUCGACAAAGCAGAUUGCGACCUCGAUGUUGGAUUAAGAAAAGUUUUGGGUGCAGUAGCCCAGUAAUUAGGUCUGUUCGACCUUUAAAUUCUUACG
Molecule: ribosomal RNA, 486 nt
Filed under: Dociostaurus jagoi occidentalis
Lineage: Eukaryota; Metazoa; Arthropoda; Insecta; Orthoptera; Acrididae
Description: partial 16S ribosomal RNA
Rfam family: Bacterial large subunit ribosomal RNA
Source: RNAcentral